UAAAGUUCUAGUUUUUUAAAACAAACGAGAGAGAGAGAGAGAGAGAGGGCAUAAUUAAUAGAGGUAGUAUAUCCUGAAAUUCCGGUACUUUUGUUUUAAGGGCUUAGAGGGAUUGCCAGCCUCUGGCCUGCUCUUUCAGGCAUUGUUUGGAGGCUGGCCAUUGGAUUGACAGCUACCCGCUAGUAUCUGCCCCUCUCUUUCCCUUCUCCUGCACCGAAGAUCCGAGUUUUUUUAUUGGAUUGAAGGGAAUGAAAAAGGUUUGAGGCCAACUUCAAUUCCUUGCCAUUUUAAAUACUGGGAAUCCGAAAAAUGAGCGCUGUUUCGGGUGUUGUUUCGAGGCAAGUUUUGCCGGUAUGCGGUAGUCUUUGUUUCUUUUGCCCGGCAUUGCGGGCGAGGUCUAGACAGCCUGUCAAAAGGUAUAAGAAGCUCAUCGCCGAUAUCUUUCCUCGUAAUCAGGAGGAAGGACCAAAUGAUCGGAAGAUCGGAAAACUUUGUGAAUAUGCUUCCAAAAAUCCUUUGCGUAUCCCAAAGAUUACAAAUUCUCUUGAGCAAAGGUGUUACAAGGAAUUGAGAAACGAGAAUUUUCAAUCUGUGAAAAUUGCGAUGUGUAUUUACAGGAAAUUACUAAUUUCCUGUAAGGAGCAAAUGCCUUUGUUUGCAAGUAGCUUACUAAGCAUCAUGCUCACUCUGCUUGAUCAAACACGACAAGAUGAAAUGCGAAUUAUAGGAUGCCAUACCCUUUUUGACUUUGUAAAUAAUCAGCACGACGGGACUUAUACGUUUAAUUUAGAAGGCUUUAUUCCAAAAUUGAUUCAAUUAGCUCAAGAAGUGGGGGAGGAUGAAAGGGAACAAUGUCUACGUUCAGCUGGCCUCCAAGCCCUUUCUUCAAUGGUUUGGUUUAUGGGCAAAUACUCUCACAUUUCUGUGGAGUUUGAUAAUGUUGUUUCAGUAGUAUUGGAGAACUUUGAAAGUCGCACUAAAAAGUUAGAGAACAUGGAUCACGAUAAGGAAUGUCAGAAUCAUUGUGUGCAAGAUGUGCUAAAAAAUGAAAGUCAUCUCUCUUCUUCACCUGAUGUCACAACAAGGGGUCCUUCUUGGCAGACAAUUGUGAAUGAGAAGGGUGAAGCGAAUGUGACAGUGGAAGAUGCCAAGAACCCGUGCUUUUGGUCCAGGAUCAGUUUGUAUAACUUGGCAAAGCUAGCCAAGGAGGCUACAACCAUGCGGCGUGUUCUGGAAUCUUUGUUCCGAUACUUUGAUAAUGGGAAUUUGUGGUCUCCUGAAUAUGGUCUUGCCCUCCCAGUCCUUAAGGAAUUGCAGUUUUUAAUGGAUAAAUCUGGGCAAAAUACACAUUUCUUGCUUUCCACAUUAAUUAAACAUCUUGAUCAUAGAAAUGUCCUUAAACAACCUGACAUGCAGCUUGACAUCGUUCGGGUUGCCACGUCCCUUGCUCAAGAUGCAAAGGUUGAGCCUUCUAUGGCAAUAAUUGGUGCAUUAAGUGAUACCAUGAGGUAUUUGCGAAAGAGCAUGCACUCCUUACUCAAUGAUGAGAAUCUGGGAGCUGACAUCGUUAAAUGGAAUAGAAGAUUUGGGGAAGCAGUGGAUGACUGCCUCGUGCAGUUAUCACAUAAGGUUGGAGAAGCAGGCCCAAUUCUUGAGGUUAUGGCCUUGAUGUUGGAGAACAUCUCAACAAUUACAGUGAUAGCCAGAACUACAAUUUCAGCUGUUUAUCGUACAGCUGAAAUUGUAGCCUCUUUGCCCAAGUUAUCAUAUCAAAAUAAGGCUUUCCCUGAGGCUUUGUUUCACCAGUUACUCCCAGCUAUGGUCCAUCCAGACUAUGAAACGCGAAUUGGAGCUCAUCGCACUUUUUCUAUUGUUCUUGUGCCAUCUUCAGUUUUCCCUCGUCCUUCCUCAUCUAUUUCUGAGUCAAAGACAGCCUCCGAUCUUCCACGGACACUGUCAAGAACUGUCUCUGUCUUUUCUUCUUCAGCUGCUCUUUUUGAGAAGCUAAGGAAGGAGAAGUUUUCUUUGACGGAAAUUGUAUGUGAAGAUAGCAAAGAUAAUAGAGUUAGUGAGGAGCAACCAAUAAAUAAUGGGGUGGAAAAUAUGUUGAAGCCAUCAUACAGUCGGGUCUGCAGUAUGAGAAGUCCCUCUGUACCCAUGACAGCUGAUGGAAAUAAUGUGAAGAGUUUAAAUAGAGAGACUGAGUCUAAUUCCCUCAGGCUGAGUAGCCACCAGAUUACUCUCUUGCUUUCAUCAAUUUGGGCUCAGUCCAUCUCUCCUGAAAAUACACCCGAUAACUAUCAAGCAAUCGCUCAUACAUACAGUCUGGUAUUGCUUUUCUCCCGGGCCAAGAAUUCCAGUAAUGAAGUUCUAGUUCAAAGUUUCCAGCUAGCAUUUUUCUUACGAAACUUUUCUCUUCAAGAAGGGUCACUACCACCUUCCCGUCGCAGAUCUCUCUUCACUUUGGCAGCUUCAAUGAUUCUAUUUUUAUCUAAGGCAUACAAUAUUCUUCCUCUUGUUCAUAUUGCCAAGGCUGCACUUUCAGAUAAAAUGGUUGAUCCAUUCCUGCAUGUGGUGGAAGAUUGCAAGUUACAAGCUGUUAAAUCAAGAUCCGACCAUCCUGCUAAUAUUUAUGGAUCCAAAGAGGAUGAUAAUUCAGCUUCAAAAUAUCUUUCAGAAAAAGAGAUCACUGAAGACCAAACUAGGGAGUUCUUUGUUUCUGAGAUUUUGAAAAGCUUGGAUCAUUUGCCAGAAUCUGAAUUGUCCACUAUAAGGGAGCAGCUGCUCGAAGAAUUCUCACCCAAUCAAGUUUGUCCACUAGGAAGCCAGUUGCUCAUUGGCAGUCCACAUAGCAUACAUCAGGUUGAUUCUGAAAGUAAUGAACCUCUUAAGGAGGUUGUUCCAAUGUUUACGACAGAGGAUGAUUCAUGUGAAAGUCAGACCAAACAUAAUUCAGAGUUGGCCAUGGAAAGUCCCAAUCUUUUGAGUGUCAGUCAACUUCUAGAAUCAGUCUUGGAGACAGCACAUCAAGUUGGACGAAUUUCAGUCUCAAAUGCACCUGAUGUGCCUUACAAGGAAAUGGCCCUUCAUUGUGAGACACUACUCAUGGGAAAGCAGCAGAAGAUGUCUAAUGUGAUGAUUACACGACAGAUACAGGAAAGUAGGAUGAACUUCACUUUACAAAAUCAUGAGCCUGAGGUGAAGAAGAUGGCAUCCUAUCCCCAUGUUGAUGCUGGCAAUCCUUUCCUUGACCAAAACUUCACUGCCAAUUCAUGUGAACCAUCACCUGGCCCUGUUCCAAUGCCCUGUGCAGCAGAAUAUCAGCAUCACCCCCAUUUCUUCAAACUACCAGCAUCAAGUCCAUAUGAUCACUUUCUAAAAGCUGCUGGCUGUUGACAUUUUAGUGUGGUUAGAUGUGAAUUGUCAAUACUCAACAGAAGCUAGCCGUUGAUCUUUAAGCUCAAAGGCUGGUGUAGGAGUCUCCUAUUUUUUAUGGAUGAGGUGGUCUUUUUAUCUCGUCUCUAGUUGUACAGAGUUUCAAGCCACGGUUCAUAGGUUCCCACUUCCCAUUCCGAGUUAGAUGAUCCUUUUAGUGUGGAAAGCAGCAUUAAAUACGUUUGUUUCUUUAAACAUCGUUCCCAUGGAGUUUUAUGAAACUUCAUGAGCUGGCUCAAUCAUAGAUAAUAUAUUUUGG
Molecule: RNA transcript, 3694 nt
Organism: Carya illinoinensis
Lineage: Eukaryota; Viridiplantae; Streptophyta; Magnoliopsida; Fagales; Juglandaceae
Gene name: protein SEMI-ROLLED LEAF 2-like
Exons: 21
Source: RefSeq, a predicted model, not a curated record